GAUGAACGCUAGCGAUAGGCCUAACACAUGCAAGUCGAGGGGCAUCACAUGAAGUAGCAAUACGGAUGGUGGCGACCGGCGCACGGGUGAGUAACACGUAUGCAACCUGCCUUCAACAAGGGGAUAACCCGUUGAAAGACGGACUAAUACCCUAUAACACAGGGGUCCCGCAUGGGAAUAUUUGUUAAAGGACAACCGGUUGAAGAUGGGCAUGCGUUCCAUUAGCUAGUUGGCGGGGUAACGGCCCACCAAGGCAACGAUGGAUAGGGGAACUGAGAGGUUUAUCCCCCACACUGGUACUGAGACACGGACCAGACUCCUACGGGAGGCAGCAGUGAGGAAUAUUGGUCAAUGGACGCAAGUCUGAACCAGCCACGUCGCGUGAAGGAAGACGGCCCUACGGGUUGUAAACUUCUUUUAUACGGGAAUAAAGUGCCCCACGCGUGGGGUUUUGCAUGUACCGUAUGAAUAAGGAUCGGCUAACUCCGUGCCAGCAGCCGCGUAAGUCACACUACA
RNAcentral lists this ribosomal RNA (516 nucleotides) under uncultured bacterium. Its description in RNAcentral is "bacterial SSU rRNA". It matches the Rfam family "Bacterial small subunit ribosomal RNA", at positions 28 to 534 of the family's 1533-position model. The record is from RNAcentral.